CCAUCUCUCUUGGUUACCAAUGUGUGUCUACAUAAGAACUUCCUUAUGUCUCAUCAUCCUGCCCAAGUCACCACAAGCUAGCAUUAACAGCAAAAGAAUGGUUUCCAGGAGGAGGAUGGAUUGUGACAUCAGUGAAUGGAUCAGUUUACCUAACUACUGUGGGAGAACCCAAAAUAUUUCUUCUGAUACAGCCGUGAUUAAAAGGCAUUGCUACUCCAACACUUCUUAGGCAAUAAGGAAGGGCCAGCGCCUCAUCUUUUGCCCGAGGCUAAGGAGGCACCCUCCACUGCAUAAACCAAGAAUAUUAAAGAAAUAAAUUGAGUACUUCUGCUGCACUUUGCAUUUAAAACUGCUGUGCAAAAAUAUCACCUAUCUGAGGAAGAGCUUUUGCAAACGCUGAAUAAAGAUAAAGAACUGCCUGCAAGCAAAGAACAAAGAGCGGAGUAGUAACAGAAAUAACCAGUUACAUCAGUUAAGAGAGAAGACUGCAAACAAGAGUAAUGAGAUGUAGCAACUGGACAAAUCAGUAACUGUAUUUAGUCUCAAAAGAACAGAAGUGAAUAGUGUUCUGUAU
Long non-coding RNA from Terrapene triunguis (Three-toed box turtle), 574 nucleotides. RefSeq lists it as uncharacterized. NCBI's taxonomy places the organism in Eukaryota, Metazoa, Chordata, Testudines, Emydidae. The record is from RefSeq and is a predicted model, not a curated record. The transcript has 3 exons.